CCUACGGGGGGCAGCAGUCGAGAAUCAUUCACAAUGGGGGAAACCCUGAUGGUGCGACGCCGCGUGGGGGAAUGAAGGUCUUCGGAUUGUAAACCCCUGUCAUGUGGGAGCAAAUUAAAAAGAUAGUACCACAAGAGGAAGAGACGGCUAACUCUGUGCCAGCAGCCGCGGUAAUACAGAGGUCUCAAGCGUUGUUCGGAAUCACUGGGCGUAAAGCGUGCGUAGGCAGUUUCGUAAGUCGUGUGUGAAAGGCGCGGGCUCAACCCGCGGACGGCACAUGAUACUGCGAGGCUAGAGUACUGGAGGAGGAAGCGGAAUUCUCGGUGUAGCAGUGAAAUGCGUAGAUAUCGCGCAGAACACUCGUGGCGAAGGCGGGUUCCUGGACAUUAACUGACGCUGAGGCACGAAGGCCAGGGGAGCGAAAGGGAUUAGAUACCCCAGUAGUC
Molecule: ribosomal RNA, 446 nt
Filed under: uncultured bacterium
Lineage: Bacteria
Description: partial 16S ribosomal RNA
Rfam family: Bacterial small subunit ribosomal RNA
Source: RNAcentral